Molecule: ribosomal RNA, 494 nt
Filed under: uncultured bacterium
Lineage: Bacteria
Description: partial 16S ribosomal RNA
Rfam family: Bacterial small subunit ribosomal RNA
Source: RNAcentral
GACGAACGCUGGCGGCGUGCUUAACACAUGCAAGUCGAACGGUGAAGCGCCUUCCUUUUUGGUGGGUGUGGAUGAGUGGCGAACGGGUGAGUAACACGUGAGUAACCUGCCCCCUUCUUCUGGAUAACCGCAUGAAAGUGUGGCUAAUACGGGAUAUUCUGGGUCUGUCGCAUGAUGGGUCUGGGAAAGAUAUUGUUUCGGGGGGGGAUGGGCUCGUGGCCUAUCAGCUUGUUGGUGGGGUGAUGGCCUACCAAGGCGGUGACGGGUAGCCGGCCUGAGAGGGUGGACGGUCACACUGGGACUGAGACACGGCCCAGACUCCUACGGGAGGCAGCAGUGGGGAAUAUUGCACAAUGGGCGCAAGCCUGAUGCAGCGACGCCGCGUGAGGGAUGGAGGCCUUCGGGUUGUGAACCUCUUUCGCCAGUGAAGCAGGCCUGCCUCGUUUGUGGGUGGGUUGACGGUAGCUGGAUAAGAAGCGCCGGCUAACUACGUG